AGAGUCCAGCUCCCGAGACCCGGUCAAAGCAGGGACAGGAUCUCUUCCCCACCCACCCAAAUGACGCCCUCGGUCUGUUUCCGCUGGGAUCCGGAGAAGCUGACCCUCUCACCGGGGGGUCUUCCCGGGGCGCCUAGGCCAGGGCGGGCCCCCAGCGUCGUCCUCUCCCACCCCCCCACUCCCCUGCCCACACAUUCUGGAUCAAAGCAGACAUGCGGCCGGCGCUCUGCGAUCCAAGGCACACUGGGGUCUUUCAUCCGGUGUUUUUAAAAAGGAGGAAACAAAAGGCUCAGAGGCAGGGCCCCAGGUGCGCUCGCCCGCGGGGGCUGCGGCGCGGACGACCGAAGAAAACCACGACUUCCUGGAAAAGUCUUCACCGUAAAUAUUAAUCUCUUUGGCAUGAAGAGGAAAACACUGCAGCUAAUUUUUCAUGGGAUAACAAAAAUAUAAACUGCAAUUUCUUUUAUUUUUUCCCUUUCGAUGGUCUUUUUAAACGAGGAGUAAAGAUUUCAACGCCAGGUCCAUUUUCCAAAUUUUGUACCAGAACCUUGAGGAUGCUUGUCUCUCGCGCGCUUCUCCGCAGACCGAACCCUCUCCGGAACUCAGAGCUGUUCACCCAAGUCAGCGGAGGAGGCCUCCUGGGACUUGAGCCUGAGGGUGGCGAAGAACCCUAGGCAGAGAUCAUCAACUUGGUACCGAUGAGUGACGCGGAGCUUGAACAUUCCAGCGACUUGCUCCAGGGCCACUCCCAGUUAAGAGGCUGAGUGUUAACUGCAAGAGGCUGAGUGUUAACUACGCCGUUGGCUCCAGGAACCGAACCGGGUUUGGAUACAGACCCAGUCACACCAUCCAUGAAAAGCUGUUUCUAUAAUAUGAAAAAUUGUUAAAUGACGCUUUAGUAAAAGCCAUUUAAAGAUCUUUUCUAAUAAAUUUUUCAUCUUUCCAAACAAUGCCGCUAAUUACCUUCUGAUACAGUGCGUUUCCAAAAUGUUUAUGAACUGAAAACAAAAAUAAAAAACUACAUUUUUAUGUUGUAAAGGGAGUGGGGGGGACUUUCUAAAAUUUGUCGUAUUAUAGCACUUCUCAUGACAACUUGACCCUUUAGGCAUAAUUUUUGACAAAAUGUCUUGUUCUUUUUCUUUUUACAGCUGAACGUCUUAAAUUCAAGGAGUAAACACAUAUAAUGAGAUAAAAGUUUAUCACUGUUAGCACAACCAAUAAUUUGCAUCGUAGUCUCAAUUUCCUCGAAUCUUUAAUAAAACCAAAGUGGUCAAGUGUUUAAAUGAUUAUACAGAUUGAGUACCCCUUAUCCAAAAUGCUUGGGACCAGAAAUAUUUUGGAUUCUGGAUUUUCUUGGAUUUUGCAAUAGUUGCAUAGACGUAACGAGAGAUCUUUGGGGAUGGAACUCAAGCCUAAACAUGAAAUUUAUUUAUGUUUUCUAUAUGCCUUAUACACAUGGCCUGAAGGUAAUUUUAUACAAUAUUUUAGAUAAUUUUGUGCAUGAAACAAAGUUUUGACUGCACUUUGACUGCAAGUCAUCACAUGAGGUCAGGUGUGGAAUUCGCCA
This 1567-nucleotide long non-coding RNA is filed under the name Homo sapiens (human). RNAcentral describes it as "non-protein coding lnc-CAGE1-1:7". Lineage: Eukaryota; Metazoa; Chordata; Mammalia; Primates; Hominidae. The record is from RNAcentral.